Molecule: long non-coding RNA, 1416 nt
Organism: Salvelinus sp. IW2-2015
Lineage: Eukaryota; Metazoa; Chordata; Actinopteri; Salmoniformes; Salmonidae
Source: RefSeq, a predicted model, not a curated record
UGAGAACUUGUUCUCAACUAGCCUACCUGGUUAAAUGAAGGUCAGUACACUGUCUAGCCUGCCAGAAGUUUGAGAGGGCGAAGACUGUGGCGCCGGAGUUGAAGCCCAUCAAAGUUGUUUCACCAUGGCACAUGAUUAGGGUGGACCUCAUCGGACCCUUCACAAAAUCCAGGAAUGGCAACAGCUGGUGUCUGACGGUGACCGAUCACUUUACCAAGUGGGUGGAGGCAAUACCCAUUAAGAUCAGUAAAGGAAGAGUAUGUGCUCGGAAUUCCCUUCUGUAACCCAUUAAAAAGGGUGGUUGGAACAAAUAAAUAGAUUUUCGUUUUGUAUGAUACCUAUCAAGAACGAGACUGGCAAGGCCACCUCCAAGGCGAUGGUGGACAUCUUCAACACACAUGGUUCUCCUGAGGUCACCUUGAGUGACCAAGGUAAUGAGCGCUGGAACAAGGUACGGAUGUUGUAGGUUAUAUUCUGUCACCAAUGGCGUGUUUUAUUUUUUUACAUUUUUUGUUUGUUUUUCCAUGGUACAUAAUCAGAUAUAUUUCAAUAUCUUACAUUGUCAAUAGAUAUCGCUUUCCUACCCCCUCCUCCAGGUUUGGUGAAUGGACCAACCAGACCCUCAAGGCUGCCAUGGACAAGUCCCUUGAUUGGUACCAGGAAGAGUGGGAAAGUAAUUCUCUUUGSACACAACAGCAGCAUCCAGGCCUCCACAAACAAAGGUAAACAAUUGAGAUAACUGAAACCCCACUUGAUGUGGUGGAAGUUGUCGAACCAAAUCAGAAUGCCUUCGYGGUCCAAUUCAGGCAUGGACUGAGAAGGAUGUGGAGGUUUUUGACCAGGUGAGACUGAACAUGGACAAGGCGCAAAAAAAAACAGAAGGAGAGCUACCGGAGCAGAAUCAAGAAGGGGACCAAGUGCUACGACAUCUGGGCGAAUUACUUGGUUUGGAAGAAGGACGAAAGGAAGGCGAGACCUGGGAAACUUCGCUGUUUUUUCGCUCCUAGCUGGGGUCAGCAUCUGUUAAAGGUUACCUCAGCGGAAGUCAACAAUCUUCUACAUUUGGAGCAGUUUGYCGGUCAAGCACUGACGCCCUACACUUCAGUGAAGCCCAAUAGACUAAGACCAUCAACUGUCCGAGCCCCCCAGGAGGUAUCCCAUCCACCAGAACCAGUGAGUCGGAGGGGGACCAGCUUGAGGAACUGGAGGUUCUGCCCAACACCCAGACAUAGAUCCACCUGAUGUCCUCCAUUACCAACCACCCUCCAUCUUUUCAUUAAAUAUUCUACAGCUACUGUUGUUGUCAUGUUGUCAUCAUCUGCUAAGAAAGUGAGAUAAUAUGUGAGAUAAAUCAAAUCGUAUUGGUCACAUACACGUGUUUAGCAGAUGUUAUUGUGUAGUGAAAUGCCUGAGUUU